This 369-nucleotide ribosomal RNA is filed under the name uncultured bacterium. RNAcentral's name for it is "bacterial SSU rRNA". It matches the Rfam family "Bacterial small subunit ribosomal RNA", at positions 30 to 407 of the family's 1533-position model. The record is from RNAcentral.
AUUGAACGCUGGCGGAAUGCCUAACACAUGUAAGUCGAGCGGGGUGUAGCAAUACACCUAGCGGCGGACGGGUGAGGAAUACAUAGGAAUCUACCUUUAAGUGGGGGAUAGCCCGGGGAAACCCGGAUUAAUACCGCAUGAUCUCGCAAGAGCAAAGCGGGGGACCGUAAGGCCUCGCGCUGAAAGAUGAGCCUAUGUCGGAUUAGCUAGUUGGCGGGGUAAAGGCCCACCAAGGCGACGACCGUAGCUGGUCUGAGAGGACGAUCAGCCACACCGGAACUGAGACACGGUCCGGACUCCUACGGGAGGCAGCAGGUGGGGAAUAUUGGACAAUGGGCGCAAGCCUGAUCCAGCAAUUCCGCGUGUGUG